AUUGAACGCUGGCGGCAGGCCUAACACAUGCAAGUCGAGCGGAUGAAGGGAGCUUGCUCCUGGAUUCAGCGGCGGACGGGUGAGUAAUGCCUAGGAAUCUGCCUGGUAGUGGGGGAUAACGUCCGGAAACGGGCGCUAAUACCGCAUACGUCCUGAGGGAGAAAGUGGGGGAUCUUCGGACCUCACGCUAUCAGAUGAGCCUAGGUCGGAUUAGCUAGUUGGUGGGGUAAAGGCCUACCAAGGCGACGAUCCGUAACUGGUCUGAGAGGAUGAUCAGUCACACUGGAACUGAGACACGGUCCAGACUCCUGCGGGAGGCAGCAGUGGGGAAUAUUGGACAAUGGGCGAAAGCCUGAUCCAGCCAUGCCGUGUGUGUGAAGAAGGUCUUCGGAUUGUAAAGCACUUUAAGUUGGGAGGAAGGGCAGUAAGUUAAUACCUUGCUGUUUUGACGUGACCAACAGAAUAAGCACCGGCUAACUUCGU
This 483-nucleotide ribosomal RNA is filed under the name uncultured bacterium. Its description in RNAcentral is "partial 16S ribosomal RNA". It matches the Rfam family "Bacterial small subunit ribosomal RNA", at positions 30 to 506 of the family's 1533-position model. The record is from RNAcentral.